UCCCAGGCCCACCACUUUCAUCGAGUGAGCAUUCGUCUUCUGGUUACGGGGCCAUAGCUCAGCUGGGAGAGCGCGUGCUUUGCAAGCAUGAGGUCGUCGGUUCGAUCCCGUCUGGCUCCACCAGAUGGUUUGAUCACCUGCGACUGACCGUCGUCCGCGAAACAUCACUUCGCAUUCACUAGUCUGGAUAGACAGUGAACUGCGUGUUUUCUGACAUCGUAAAGAGGAGAUCGAUCCGAGUUGGGUCGUGCAGCAGAUUGUUGCGCGGAUCCUUCAUUAUCUCCGGAUCAUUUUCGGCGCUCGCUUUCAGCCGUGAGGCUGAACGCGAGUUGUAAAAUGAUCCUUUUAGCGAAGCUUGACCGCCUCGCUAUCGGAACGAUCUUACGAAGCAAGCUGGUCUUUCUAGUCAAUGUCCGGCUGUGAGAAUAGCGCUCGUCGAGGGCGCGUGCCGCAAGGCGGUUCUUACAGGCAGCAUUCUGCCGAGUGUGUGGACAUUGAUAAUGAGAGCAAUCAAGUGCCUUAAGGGUGUUCGGUGGAUGCCUUGGCGCUGAGAGGCGAUGAAGGACGUGCUACGCUGCGAUAAGCCGUGGGGAGCUGCGAAGAAGCUUUGAUCCGCGGAUUUCCGAAUGGG
This 631-nucleotide unclassified non-coding RNA is filed under the name uncultured Bradyrhizobium sp. Its description in RNAcentral is "partial 16S-23S ribosomal RNA intergenic spacer". The stretch from base 509 to 631 matches the Rfam family "Bacterial large subunit ribosomal RNA", at positions 1 to 122 of the family's 2925-position model. The record is from RNAcentral. Lineage: Bacteria; Pseudomonadati; Pseudomonadota; Alphaproteobacteria; Hyphomicrobiales; Nitrobacteraceae.